Molecule: ribosomal RNA, 201 nt
Filed under: uncultured bacterium
Lineage: Bacteria
Description: partial 16S ribosomal RNA
Rfam family: Bacterial small subunit ribosomal RNA
Source: RNAcentral
UACGUAGGGUGCAAGCGUUGUCCGGAAUUAUUGGGCGUAAAGAGCUCGUAGGCGGUUUGUUGCGUCGGCUGUGAAAUCCCGAGGCUCAACCUCGGGUCUGCAGUCGAUACGAGCAAACUAGAGUGUUGCAGGGGAGACUGGAAUUCCUGGUGUAGCGGUGAAAUGCGCAGAUAUCAAGGAGGAACACCGGUGGGCGAAGGC